This 467-nucleotide ribosomal RNA is filed under the name uncultured bacterium. Its description in RNAcentral is "partial 16S ribosomal RNA". It matches the Rfam family "Bacterial small subunit ribosomal RNA", at positions 29 to 507 of the family's 1533-position model. The record is from RNAcentral.
ACGAACGCUGGCGGCGUGCUUAACACCUGCAAGUCGAACGGAAAGGCCCUGCUUUUGUGGGGUGCUCGAGUGGCGAACGGGUGAGUAACACGUGAGUAACCUGCCCUUGACUUUGGGAUAACUUCAGGAAACUGGGGCUAAUACCGGAUAGGAGCUCCUGCUGCAUGGUGGGGGUUGGAAAGUUUCGGCGGUUGGGGAUGGACUCGCGGCUUAUCAGCUUGUUGGUGGGGUAGUGGCUUACCAAGGCUUUGACGGGUAGCCGGCCUGAGAGGGUGACCGGCCACAUUGGGACUGAGAUACGGCCCAGACUCCUACGGGAGGCAGCAGUGGGGAAUAUUGCACAAUGGGCGGAAGCCUGAUGCAGCAACGCCGCGUGCGGGAUGACGGCCUUCGGGUUGUAAACCGCUUUCGCCUGUGACGAAGCGUGAGUGACGGUAAUGGGUAAAGAAGCACCGGCUAACUAUGUG